Molecule: ribosomal RNA, 480 nt
Filed under: Vibrio parahaemolyticus
Lineage: Bacteria; Pseudomonadati; Pseudomonadota; Gammaproteobacteria; Vibrionales; Vibrionaceae
Description: bacterial LSU rRNA
Rfam family: Bacterial large subunit ribosomal RNA
Source: RNAcentral
CCUUGUCGGGUAAGUUCCGACCUGCACGAAAGGUGUAAUGAUUUGGGCACUGUCUCAACGAGAGACUCGGUGAAAUUAUAAUACCCGUGAAGAUGCGGGUUACCCGCGACAGGACGGAAAGACCCCAUGGAGCUUUACUGCAAUUUGAUAUUGAGUAGCUGUUAAACAUGUACAGGAUAGGUAGGAGCCAGAGAAGAUAGCACGCCAGUGUUAUCAGAGGCAAUGUUGGGAUACUACCCUUGUUUGAUGGCUGCUCUAACCAGGACCUCUAAGCGAGGUAUGGGACAGUGUCUGAUGGGCAGUUUGACUGGGGCGGUCGCCUCCUAAAGAGUAACGGAGGCGCCCAAAGGUUCCCUCAGAAUGGUUGGAAAUCAUUCACAGAGUGUAAAGGUAUAAGGGAGCUUGACUGCGAGAGCGACAACUCGAGCAGGGACGAAAGUCGGGCUUAGUGAUCUGGUGGUACCGUAUGGAAGGGCCAUC